This 65-nucleotide transfer RNA is filed under the name Norvellina sp. EMHAU-15062816. Its description in RNAcentral is "tRNA-Phe". The record is from RNAcentral. Lineage: Eukaryota; Metazoa; Arthropoda; Insecta; Hemiptera; Cicadellidae.
GUUUUUAUAGCUUAUAUUUAGAGCAUUUCAGUGAAGUUGAUAGGGAAAUAAUAUAUUUAAAAACA